Molecule: ribosomal RNA, 714 nt
Filed under: uncultured Bacillota bacterium
Lineage: Bacteria; Bacillati; Bacillota
Description: bacterial SSU rRNA
Rfam family: Bacterial small subunit ribosomal RNA
Source: RNAcentral
GUCCACGCCGUAAACGAUGAGUGCUAGGUGUCGGGGGUUCACACCCUCGGUGCCGGAGUUAACGCAUUAAGCACUCCGCCUGGGGAGUACGGUCGCAAGACUGAAGCUCAAAGGAAUUGACGGGGACCCGCACAAGCAGCGGAGCAUGUGGUUUAAUUCGAAGCAACGCGAAGAACCUUACCAGGACUUGACAUCCCUGUGACCGGUACGUAAUAGUACCUUUCCCUUCGGGGACAGAGGAGACAGGUGGUGCAUGGUUGUCGUCAGCUCGUGUCGUGAGAUGUUGGGUUAAGUCCCGCAACGAGCGCAACCCUUGUCUUUAGUUGCCAGCACAUAGUGGUGGGCACUCUAGAGAGACUGCCGGUGACAAACCGGAGGAAGGUGGGGACGACGUCAAAUCAUCAUGCCCCUUAUGUUCUGGGCUACACACGUGCUACAAUGGCUGGUACAACGGGAAGCGAAGGAGUAAUCUGGAGCGAAUCCCAAAAAGCCAGUCCCAGUUCGGAUUGUGGGCUGCAACUCGCCCACAUGAAGUUGGAGUUGCUAGUAAUCGCGGAUCAGAAUGUCGCGGUGAAUGCGUUCCCGGGUCUUGUACACACCGCCCGUCACACCAUGGGAGCCUGGGGCACCCGAAGUCAGCUAUCUAACUUUUUAAGAGGAGGCUGCCGAAGGUGAAUUAGGUGACUGGGGUGAAGUCGUAACAAGGUAGCCGUA